GAUGAACGCUAGCGGCAGGCCUAACACAUGCAAGUCGAGGGGUAACAUAGAAAAGCUUGCUUUUCUGAUGACGACCGGCGCACGGGUGCGUAACGCGUAUACAACCUACCUUUUAGCGGGGAAUAGCCCAGGGAAACUUGGAUUAAUGCCUCAUAGUAUAUAAGUCGUUCUCCUGAAGUUUAUAUUAAACAUUUAUGGCUAUUAGAUGGGUAUGCGUCCUAUUAGUUAGUUGGUAAGGUAACGGCUUACCAAGGCAGCGAUAGGUAGGGGUCCUGAGAGGGAGAUCCCCACACUGGUACUGAGACACGGACCAGACUCCUACGGGAGGCAGCAGUGAGGAAUAUUGGACAAUGGGCGAGAGCCUGAUCCAGCCAUGCCGCGUGCAGGAAGACUGCCCUAUGGGUUGUAAACUGCUUUUACAGAGGAAGAACCACCCCCACGUGUGGGGGUUUGACGGUACUCUGCGAAUAAGGAUCGGCUAACUCCGUG
RNAcentral lists this ribosomal RNA (489 nucleotides) under uncultured bacterium. RNAcentral's name for it is "bacterial SSU rRNA". It matches the Rfam family "Bacterial small subunit ribosomal RNA", at positions 28 to 507 of the family's 1533-position model. The record is from RNAcentral.